UGGACAUGAGUUUGAGCAAACUCCGGGAGAUCGUGAAGGACAGGGAGGCCUGGCAUUCUGCAGUCCAUGGGGUUGCAAAGAAUCAAACAUGACUUGCUGACUGAAAAACAACAACAAAUAAUUAUCCAUCUAUAUAAAUUUCCCUCAGAAGGAACACUGUAUGCUGCGGUCACAUCUCUUUAAUCUUUUACCUCCACAUAGAAGCGCAGAGCCUGAUCCAGUUCAUGGCUCUGAACUGGAUACAAAAUUUAUUUGUAUCAAGUCCUGAGCUGGACCUUGGAGCCUGCAGUUGGAGUCUGUUCUAUCAUUCCUGUUUAUGGCUCCUCCGGAACAAGAUAUGAAGAAAGGGGGGAUUCAAGGAAAAGAGAAAAAGGUUCUUUUGUGCAUUCAUUUUGAGAUUUGGAGGCUCUGUGAACUCUCUGUACUGUGUAUUUCUCUGACAUGGGUAAUGUAUUCCAGAGGUAGGUAUUUGCAAACAAUAUGAUCACUUGCCCAAUACUCAACCUCAAUGAAUAUCUUGAGGUAUCUUAUGAUACCUCCCAGCUCUUGCCUCCAAGUGUAUCCCCCAGUCCCUUUCCACUGAUGGGUCAGGAUACCUUAAAGAUGCCAGUAACUCCCCUCUCUGGCAUGACUUUUCCAUGAAAUGUGUGUAUUCUUGCUGGGAAUUCAGGCUGAUCCACUGGUUUCCCUUUUCCCCCAGGUAAUUUGUCUUCAGGCUGCUCCAGGAGAAAGACAGACACCUGCCUCUGUCUUCACAUGUGUUUGAAAACUCCAGAGGAUGCAAGUCAAGUUCUCCCAAGAACCCUCUUCUCUGGGUUGCUGGCUCCAAGUUAAUAUCAUUCAGUGAGCAUCAAGCUGGGAAGUGAGUUUCCUGGGUUCUUCCUUGCAGGCACUUCCACUCUUCAUGAAAAAUUUAUGUCUCAUUCCUUCACUCAGGGACAGUGAACUCUCUUCUUUCUAUGAGACAGAGAGGAGGAAAGCUAAAACAUUCUUUUCCUUUACCCCAGGAAGUGACCUGCCUCUUCCCUAAUAACUUAAUGAGCUCCAGUCUUCUGUACACAUACGUUGGAAGCAGUGUUGGAAGUGAGACCUGAGUCCCAUUUGGUCACUUUUCAGUCAGUCCUGGGAGGGAGUGCCUGCUGGUUCUAUGGCUCUUAACAGUGGCCUAUGGUUCUUAGUGAUGGGAGUCUGGAUGAAGAACAAGACAAGAGCAAAACCCCAUUCAGCAACAUGUUUCAUCUUGUAUAAAUAGUACCGUGAUAACAUUGUGAAGAACUGACUCAAAGGAGAUGAGAUGGGAGAUGGGGAUUUCAGGAAGCAAUCCAGAUGAGAAAUAAAAGGAGUCUGAACUCCUGGUCAUGGGAGUGGAAAGGAGGAGAUGGAUCUGUGAGAUAUCCACUGAGGUUGAGUGAGUAAUCAUGCAGUUGGCACAUAUGUAACAGAGAGACAGCAGAGCAGAAUUUGAGGACAUGCCUUGAUGUCUCUGGGGCGAUUCAGGCAGAGAAGCUCAGGGGGCCAGUUAGAGGUAUAAUAUGAGGUUCAAGAGAAGGAUCUGACUUGAGGCUAUGGCUGGAGGAAUUGGCAGAGUACAGGUGGUUAUUGACACCUGGAUUUUUGGGGUUAUCCAGGGCCAGUGCCUAAUAUGAGAAUGAAAGGGGCCCAGUAGAGCCCCAGGAAGCCCCUGCAUUGAAGGACUGGGUUAUUUGCCUGGGAGACUGAGGAGGGACCAGAAAGGUGGGAGGAAAAAGUUCUCCAAAGGAUACUGAGAAAAGCCUGUGCCCCUUUCCUCAAACCGUUCAGUAUAAAUGUCACCUCUCACCCUGCCCUGUAUCACUGGCACUUCUUUCCCUGGCCCUGCCUCUUCAUCUGCUCUGUACAGCUGCUCCUUCCUUGAUGAGCUGUUCCACAGGUCUGCAAAAUCACUUGGUGAGGCUUCAACUGCUUCCUCAAACCAGAGGCUCCUUCAUAAAUGCUCCUAAGAUGAGAGAUAACUAACUGGAGGAACAUGCUUUGCAUUUCUCAGGUAUACAUGUGUCCUCAGCAUCCAAAAUGCUCAGAGAUUCCCAAAGGCUGUGCUUUAAGUGCCCUUCUGGUUUGACGAGGAAUUGGAACUCGGUGGACCUCAUCAAGUCUUCGCAUUUCUAGAAAAGACCUCGAUGUCACUGGUGGAAGAGGAAGAUGAUCAUCAGAUAUUACAAGUGAUAUUAAUACUUUGUCAUGGGAUUUCUAUUGUUCCUCUUUUAGAGAGUAUUAUUACAAGGCCCUUGUGCUGUGCUGGGCUAGUCACUUUAGUUGUGUCUGACUCUUUGCAACGCUAUGGACCUGCCAGGCUCCUCUGCCCAUAGGAUUCUCCAGGCAAGAAUACUGGAGUGGGUUGCCAUGCCCUCCUCCAGGGGAUCUUCCCAACCCAGGGAUCGAACUCGAGUCUCAUGUCUCCUGCAUUGGCAGGAGGUUUUGUACCACUAGCACCACCUGGGAAAGACUACAAGCCCUUAUAAAUCUCCAAAUACAGAUUUAUAUUCCCACCAAUGGAUUCCUUUUUAGUUGGACAGAAGGACAGAGAGAAGAAUCCUAAGAAUGACAAAGAGAAAAAAAUGUUUUUUUUUUCUAGACACCCCCAAAGCAAAUCAAAAUAUUUGGGGUCAGAGAAUCCAACAGAUAAAGUCUGGCUCACUUCUACAAGCAUCCAUUAAGCAAACCACCUACUUCAAUAGUUGGAUCCUUUGCUGCCUUCAGUCAAAAUAAGUAUUUCUCCUUCUGUGUGCUUGCCUUCCCCAGCUCCCUCCCAGAGUAUAUGUCAAGACCCACAUCUGCUUUUGUUUUCCAGUUCUUUUGAAGUAGUUUGCCAAUUUGCAAUGCCCGCUUUCAUGCCAGGAUAAUCCAUUGCUAUAAUAUGGGCAAGCUCUUGAUCCCAUGCCCUGUGUAGCUUUGCCAAAGUCAUGGAGGAGGCCAGUGGGAAGCCAGGAACAGCACACACAGCUUCAGGCUUUCAGGGCCCUCCUCGAGCUGUAGACACACGGCUCUUUUUUUUUUUUUUCCUCUACAAGUGUUCCUUGGCUCUCAUAGGGAGCAAAUUUACUCUUUGAAAUGAAAUACAUACUCUAUGCCCUUAAACAAUAUCUUGCAAUAUCAUAUGAUAUUUGUCUUUCUCUCUCUGACUUACUUCAAUCAGUAUGACAAUUUCUUGGUCCAUCCAUGUUGCAUAAUAAUAGCAUUAUUUCACUCUUUUUAUGACUGAGUAA
Molecule: long non-coding RNA, 3242 nt
Organism: Bubalus bubalis (water buffalo)
Lineage: Eukaryota; Metazoa; Chordata; Mammalia; Artiodactyla; Bovidae
Exons: 3
Source: RefSeq, a predicted model, not a curated record